UCAGAGAAGCAGGUGAGCCUGCUUCCCGGAGGCAAAGGCAACCCUCUUCAUUUCGGAGAUGCUCAGAAGGUGCCUCCGACACGGAGCGACGGGGAGGCUCAGCCGCGAGUCCGAGGGCUGGUGUGAGCAGCCCCGGAGCAUCUGUGAUGUGCAAAGCAGAGGCUGAUGUUCCUGCAAGUGAGUGUCCUGCUCUGAAAGAGCUGCCUGCCCAGCACCAGCUGUAAAACAUGAACACCUUGUUGGAUCACACUCCAAAAUCUGAAAUGGGCAUCCUGCCAAAGCUCAGGGCUUCCUUUUUGUUUUGACUGUUGCAAUGUUCUUGUUUCUGUUAGUAUCACGUUCCUACCACUUGUGCUUUUCAGACACCUACGGCCAAACUCAGUGUAACUCCACUGAGCUCACUGAAGCUGCAACAGAAGUGAAUUUGUCUCAGUAUGUCUGUAAAUUAACCAGUCAUUUAAGCUGGAGAGUGCCAUUGAUAAGCAAUAACAGCACAGGAGUGGUGAAAGGAAGAUAUCUCCUAGUUAGUUUUGGACAGUUGACACUAACUCUGUUGUCAGAUAAGUCUUACUGACUGUGGGAAAAGCUGAGUGGGAAAAGUCACACUCGCCGCUUGCUAACCGUAGGAGGAAAACAGAUCUGGAAUGCAGAGGAAAUCUUGACAUUUAUCUGUUCCCCCAACCCCUACCAGCCAGGCAAUCAAAAUGACUAGCUGAGUAUCAGCUGCCUCUGUUCCUGGCUCAAAUAAAAGUGCUUUCUUGACAGAGUUUCUGCUCAUAGGAGAGAAAGGAAAAAGAAGGAAAGAGUCUGAAGUGGGUGUGGGGGAGUGUUUCCUGCCAAAACCCAGGAACAGCUUCUCUGUGACAUAUAAAAGAAUACUGAUGACAUAAGCCUAGUGCUGUAAACGGAGGUGGCUCUGUCAUUUCCAAAGGACAGCAAUUCAUGCCCAACAGCCCUGCAGCCCAGAACUCCACUACUUCAUUGCUCCACUUGGCCUCCACUGACAUCGUCAAGGACAGUGCGCCAGACUCUGCUAAAAGAAGGAUGAAACCCAAGGGAACAAAACCACUGGGAAGAACUUCUCUAUUCCUAUCCAAAUUGUGUUGUCUAAGAAUAAAGUGUAGCCAUUUCAAAUGAACACUUGCAGAGUAAAUUCAUUUCCUUCUGAACCCUCAUAAGACACAGGGUUUUUCAAGACCUAAGGAAGCACAGUAUACUAGACUUACAUCAAUGUAUCAUAUAUACACCACAGCAAA
Catharus ustulatus (Swainson's thrush) is the source of this 1256-nucleotide long non-coding RNA. RefSeq lists it as uncharacterized. NCBI's taxonomy places the organism in Eukaryota, Metazoa, Chordata, Aves, Passeriformes, Turdidae. The record is from RefSeq and is a predicted model, not a curated record. The transcript is spliced from 3 exons.